This 425-nucleotide ribosomal RNA is filed under the name uncultured bacterium. RNAcentral's name for it is "bacterial SSU rRNA". It matches the Rfam family "Bacterial small subunit ribosomal RNA", at positions 354 to 796 of the family's 1533-position model. The record is from RNAcentral.
GUGGGGAAUAUUGGACAAUGGGGGCAACCCUGAUCCAGCUAUGCCGCGUGGGUGAUGAAGGCCUUCGGGUUGUAAAGCCCUUUUGGCAGGGACGAUAAUGACGGUACCUGCAGAAUAAGCCCCGGCUAACUCCGUGCCAGCAGCCGCGGUAAUACGGAGGGGGCGAGCGUUGUUCGGAAUUACUGGGUGUAAAGGGUGCGUAGGCGGCGAAGUUAGUCAGGCGUGAAACCCCCGGGCUCAACCCGGGAACUGCGUUUGAUACUGCUUUGCUUGAGUCCGGGAGAGGAUGGCGGAAUUCCCAGUGUAGAGGUGAAAUUCGUAGAGAUUGGGAAGAACACCGGAGGCGAAGGCGGCCAUCUGGAACGGUACUGACGCUGAGGCACGAAAGCGUGGGGAUCAAACAGGAUUAGAAACCCCAGUAGUCC